AACCAAGAUGACUCCCUCUAAAAACAAUGCUCCUCUUCAGGAAGUAGCAACUUGGGAUAAAACCCAGCAUGCCACAGGUGUUCAGGGGAGAAGGUGAUGGCGUGAUUCCCUUGGCCUUCCAAUGGCUGCAUGUAUGA
Pteronotus mesoamericanus is the source of this 137-nucleotide small nucleolar RNA. RefSeq annotates it as small nucleolar RNA SNORA67. The transcript has a single exon. The record is from RefSeq and is a predicted model, not a curated record. Lineage: Eukaryota; Metazoa; Chordata; Mammalia; Chiroptera; Mormoopidae.